AACGAACGCUGGCGGCAGGCUUAACACAUGCAAGUCGAGCGCCUCGCAAGAGGAGCGGCCGUCGGGUGAGUACCGCGUGAGAACGUACCCUUAUCUUCGGACUAGCGCUGGGAAACUGGAAGUAGUACCGAAUGUGCCCUUAGGGGGAAAGAUUUAUCGGAUAAGGAUCGGCCCGCGGUGGCUUAGCCAGUUGGUGGGGUAAAGGCCUACCAAGGCGACGAUCCAUUGCUGGUCUGAGAGAAUGAUCAGCCACAUUGGGACUGAGACACGUCCCAAACUCCUACGGGAGGAAGCAGUGGGGAAUAUUGGACAAUGGGCCCAAGGCUGACCCAGCCAUGCCGUGUGAGUGAUGAAGGCCUUAGGGGAGGAAAGCUCUUUCACCGGAGAAGAUAAUGACGGUAUCCGGAGAAGAAGCCCCGGCUAACGUCGUG
RNAcentral lists this ribosomal RNA (431 nucleotides) under uncultured bacterium. RNAcentral describes it as "partial 16S ribosomal RNA". It matches the Rfam family "Bacterial small subunit ribosomal RNA", at positions 29 to 507 of the family's 1533-position model. The record is from RNAcentral.